Long non-coding RNA from Neogale vison (American mink), 369 nucleotides. RefSeq lists it as uncharacterized. The record is from RefSeq and is a predicted model, not a curated record. NCBI's taxonomy places the organism in Eukaryota, Metazoa, Chordata, Mammalia, Carnivora, Mustelidae. The transcript is spliced from 2 exons.
CCCCCGAGUCCCGGCCGGCCCGCGCGCCCUGAGCGCCGCCGCGGAGCCGCGCACUGGACGAGUCGGGUCGACGCGGGGCCGCGCCGCCGGCAGGAAACCCAGGGGGCCGCCCGGGACUGCGGGGGACCCGGGCGGGCCGCCCGCCCGCUGACCACAGUGAGGACAAAGGCCGGGAGCCGUGUCCCUGACCCACACGGAAGGAUCUUCCCAUGCGGAGCCACAGAGCCUCGGCCCGCUGAGCGGGCGCCUUAAAUUAUCAGACUAUCUAUGUAUUUAUUGGGUGGUUAUCAUGGAACCAUCUGUCGUAAUAGUUCGUUUUUGCAUCAAUGUGUUCAUUCCAAAUAAAAUGAUCUGUUCCCUUUUCUACCA